GAUGAAGAACGUAGCGAAAUGCGAUAAGUAAUGUGAAUUGCAGAAUUCAGUGAAUCAUCGAAUCUUUGAACGCACAUUGCGCCCGCCAGUAUUCUGGCGGGCAUGCCUGUCCGAGCGUCAUUUCAACCCUCGAACCCCUCCGGGGGGUCGGCGUUGGGGACCUCGGGAGCCCCUAAGACGGGAUCCCGGCCCCGAAAUACAGUGGCGGUCUCGCCGCAGCCUCUCCUGCGCAGUAGUUUGCACAACUCGCACUGGGAGCGCGGCGCGUCCACGUCCGUAAAACACCCAACUUCUGAAAUGUUGACCUCGGAUCAGGUAGGAAUACCCGCUGAACUUAAGCAUAUCAAUAAGCGGAGGA
RNAcentral lists this unclassified non-coding RNA (358 nucleotides) under soil metagenome. Its description in RNAcentral is "partial contains 5.8S ribosomal RNA, internal transcribed spacer 2, and large subunit ribosomal RNA". The stretch from base 1 to 120 matches the Rfam family "5.8S ribosomal RNA", at positions 35 to 154 of the family's 154-position model. The record is from RNAcentral.